CCUCCCUGCCGUCCUGCUAACACACUGCAAGGCCAGGUUCUCACAGCCCCUGUGGCUCCCAGCUGCUUCCAAUGGAUUCAUUGUCUGCCUUGUUUUGUUUGUCCCAAGUUCAGGCCACCCUGUUGGUGAGUGGCCUCUUUCAAAGGUGAGCUGGCCUAUCUCGGCCUUGGACAAUCGGUCCUUUCAAGGGGGACAGGCAGCUCUGUGAACCGUCUCUGCCCUUGCUCAGGCGAAUCUCCGCCACGGCCACCGGGCCCAGGAACAUGCUGCAAAGCUUGGCCAGGAAAACAGCCCAUCUUGUUCUGCCUUCUAUCCUCUGAUGGAAGCGCUCCACGUCUUCUGCUGGCUUAGAUGAACUGGCUGUCAUGUCCCACCAUGGCAUGCUGACCACUGCAUAGGCAUAAGCAACUGAGAAGGUCCAGUCCUGACACAUGUACUACAAGGAAUGUUAGCAGGGAGCAGGAUCAGAAACAGAGUGGCCAAGAUCCUAUCGAAUGUGGAAUGCCAACAUCACUACAAUACCUGCCCCAGAGCACAUU
Ochotona princeps (American pika) is the source of this 539-nucleotide long non-coding RNA. RefSeq lists it as uncharacterized. The transcript is spliced from 3 exons. The record is from RefSeq and is a predicted model, not a curated record. NCBI's taxonomy places the organism in Eukaryota, Metazoa, Chordata, Mammalia, Lagomorpha, Ochotonidae.